RNAcentral lists this ribosomal RNA (774 nucleotides) under uncultured Neocallimastigales. RNAcentral describes it as "partial large subunit ribosomal RNA". It matches the Rfam family "Eukaryotic large subunit ribosomal RNA", at positions 24 to 644 of the family's 3401-position model. Lineage: Eukaryota; Fungi; Neocallimastigomycota; Neocallimastigomycetes; Neocallimastigales. The record is from RNAcentral.
UAUGUGAUCGUCUCUCGCAUAUCAAUAAGCGGAGGAAAAGAAACUAACAAGGAUUCCCCUAGUAACGGCGAGUGAAGCGGGAAGAGCUCAAAUUUGAAAUCUUAAAGGGUUUCCCUUUACGAAUUGUAGUUUAAAGAAGUGUUUUCUGUUGAGGUUUUGGUAAAAGUUCUUUGGAAUAGGACAUCAUAGAGGGUGAGAAUCCCGUAUUUGACCUUCACUUUCAACUUUGUGAUACACUUUCAAAGAGUCGGAUUGUUUGGGAAUGCAGUCCAAAAUGGGUGGUAAAUUUCAUCUAAAGCUAAAUAUUGGCGAGAGACCGAUAGCGAACAAGUACCGUGAGGGAAAGAUGAAAAGAACUUUGAAAAGAGAGUUAAACAGUACGUGAAAUUGUCAAAAGGGAAGCGUUUGACACCAGUGUUGUUUUUCUGAAAAUCAAUUAAAGAACUGUUUAUGCUAAGUUGUUUAGACUUUAUCAGCUAUCUGUUUAGUUUUGAGCUUUUCUUUAAUGCACUUUUCAGUUAACAAGUCAACAUCAAUUUCUUUUGCUGUAAAAAAGCUUGAGGAAGGUGGCUUGAGAUUCGUCUUAAGUGUUUAUAGCCUCUUGCCUAUGCAGUCGGAGAGAUUGAGGUCUGCAGCGUAGAUCCUUCGGGGCUAAAUGCAUUUGUGCUAAGUUAUAGCAUUUUAUAGACAACUUGUUGACUAUGAUUUGUCUUGUAGCUUACUCGCUUAUGUUAUUUUACCUACGCUUAGGAUGUUGAAGAUAUGCGCGACACG